GUGGGGAAUCUUCCGCAAUGGACGAAAGUCUGACGGAGCAACGCCGCGUGAGUGAUGAAGGUCUUCGGAUUGUAAAGCUCUGUUAAUCGGGACGAAAGAGCCUAGUGUGAAUAAUGCUAGGAAGUGACGGUACCGGAAUAGAAAGCCACGGCUAACUACGUGCCAGCAGCCGCGGUAAUACGUAGGUGGCAAGCGUUGUCCGGAAUUAUUGGGCGUAAAGCGCGCGCAGGCGGAUCUGCCAGUCUGUCUUAAAAGUUCGGGGCUUAACCCCGUGAUGGGAUGGGAACUACAGAUCUAGAGUAUCGGAGAGGAAAGUGGAAUUCCUAGUGUAGCGGUGAAAUGCGUAGAUAUUAGGAAGAACACCAGUGGCGAAGGCGACUUUCUGGACGAAAACUGACGCUGAGGCGCGAAAGCCAGGGGAGCGAACGGGAUUAGAAACCCGUGUAGUCC
Molecule: ribosomal RNA, 450 nt
Filed under: uncultured bacterium
Lineage: Bacteria
Description: partial 16S ribosomal RNA
Rfam family: Bacterial small subunit ribosomal RNA
Source: RNAcentral